GUACUUAAUGUGAGACUCAUC
RNAcentral lists this microRNA (21 nucleotides) under Tetranychus urticae (two-spotted spider mite). Its description in RNAcentral is "tur-miR-12a-3p". Its record names the gene tur-miR-12a-3p. The record is from miRBase by way of RNAcentral. Lineage: Eukaryota; Metazoa; Arthropoda; Arachnida; Trombidiformes; Tetranychidae.